RNAcentral lists this unclassified non-coding RNA (334 nucleotides) under soil metagenome. Its description in RNAcentral is "partial contains 5.8S ribosomal RNA, internal transcribed spacer 2, and large subunit ribosomal RNA". The stretch from base 1 to 120 matches the Rfam family "5.8S ribosomal RNA", at positions 35 to 154 of the family's 154-position model. The record is from RNAcentral.
GAUGAAGAACGUAGCAAAAUGCGAUAAGUAGUGUGAAUUGCAGAAUUCAGUGAAUCAUCGAAUCUUUGAACGCACAUUGCGCCCCUUGGUAUUCCAUGGGGCAUGCCUGUUCGAGCGUCAUUUGUACCUUCAAGCUUUGCUUGGUGUUGGGUGUUUGUCCAUUCUCUUGCAGAGGGACUCGCCUUAAAGUAAUUGGCAGCCAGUGUUUUGGUUUUGAAGCGCAGCACAAGUCGCGAUUCAACGCUAUACGCCAGCUUCCACAAGCCUUUUUCACUUUUGACCUCGGAUCAGGUAGGGAUACCCGCUGAACUUAAGCAUAUCAAUAAGCGGAGGA